CUAGUGCUAAACAUGCUUGGAACCAGCCUAGGUGAGGAGAAUGGAAGCCUCUACAGUGAGGCUGUGGAUGCGAUGGGAUAGGUCCUAGUAUUCCUACUCUAUGGGAGGUGGAAUUCCUUAUUGUGGCCAGUUGUGAAUGGCAAAGGCCACUCAAAGGUACUGAAUCAAUGCUAGUUAAUAGGUGAAGCUUAUGUGGCCAUUCACAUUCUCGCUUCAUCGCUUUCUUUUUGGGACAAGGGUGUUAUUGUCUCCUUUCGUAUACUUUUGCUGGCGUCCUGGUUGCUUUCCAUCUAUGGUGUGGAUCUUUGCUCCUUAACCUCCCUCGG
This 326-nucleotide long non-coding RNA is filed under the name Elaeis guineensis (African oil palm). RNAcentral's name for it is "long non-coding RNA (EGUI_LNC076807)". Lineage: Eukaryota; Viridiplantae; Streptophyta; Magnoliopsida; Arecales; Arecaceae. The record is from RNAcentral.